Larimichthys crocea (large yellow croaker) is the source of this 850-nucleotide long non-coding RNA. RefSeq lists it as uncharacterized. The transcript has 3 exons. Lineage: Eukaryota; Metazoa; Chordata; Actinopteri; Sciaenidae. The record is from RefSeq and is a predicted model, not a curated record.
CUUUAGGAAAAGUCCCAAGUACCCCUGACUGCAGCCCGCAGAUCGGGCGUGCCUCAACGUUGAGCCACGCCCACAUUGAGCCACGCCUCCCACGUUUGACUCCCUUCCGGGGGCCAUCUGGUGGCAGAGACUAUGAACGGCAAGUGGCCGCUCUGUGGACUGCUAAAGAAUAAUGUGCGCAGACGAAGACGAAAUAAAUCAGUUUGCAAAAUGGAGAGACAUGUCACUAUACUGCUGGAAGGUGAUACACCAACCAUGUAUCAAUGCACCAACAGUGGGCUAUUCCACUGCCCUUUUUGCAAGUAUGCGGCUGCAACGAAACUGGAUUAGACAGAGAAUUCACAAUCAUCAAGUGUGGCUUCAUUUGUCGCACUUCAACACAUUUCCAUUGCUGCUAUUGUGCAGAAACAAUUAUCAAUAGAUCACAGUUUUUAAGACACUUAGAAAAACCCCAGGAGGAGAAGCAUAACAAACAAACAAAGGCCCCCACUCAGCACUUUGCAGCCCCUGCAUAGAACCCACAGGCCUCCACUCAGCACCCAGCUGCCCCUGUACAGAACCCAGCGUCCUCAACUCAGAACCCAGCAGAAAAAAGACUCCAGGUGAGAGGUCAUGUGAUGAGUUAUUAUGUAGUCAAACUAUUACUUGAAGACAAAAGCCUAACCUCUCCACUUAUUUCAGGAUGUGGAAGAGGUCCCACUGAAAAGGUUCAGCCAUUCAGAAUCUGUCUCUGAAGCAUCAGGUAUUGUUCAAGCAGCUUUGUUGUUUACACAUCCAUCAAAGUUGUAGAGGUACAUCAUGUCACAGAGAGUCAUUUCUCCGUUUUCAUUAAACCAGUAUACUAAAAAUC